AGUGAACGCUGGCGGUAGGCCUAACACAUGCAAGUCGAACGGCAGCACAGUAAGAGCUUGCUCUUACGGGUGGCGAGUGGCGGACGGGUGAGGAAUAUAUCGGAAUCUACUUUUUCGUGGGGGAUAACGUAGGGAAACUUACGCUAAUACCGCAUACGACCUACGGGUGAAAGCAGGGGAUCUUCGGACCUUGCGCGAUUGAAGGAGCCGAUGUCGGAUUAGAUAGUUGGCGGGGUAAAGGCCCACCAAGGCGACGAUCCGUAGCUGGUCUGAGUGGAUGUUCGGCCACACUGGAUCUGAAUCACGGUCCAGACUCCUACGGGAGGCAGCAGUGGGGAAUAUUGGACAAUGGGCGCAAGCCUGAUCCAGCCAUACCGAGUGGGUGAAGAAGGCCUUCGGGUUGUAAAGCCCUUUUGUUGGGAAAGAAAAGCAGCAGGUUAAUACCCCGCUGUUCUGACGGUACCCAAAGAAUAAGCACCGGCUAACUUCGUG
RNAcentral lists this ribosomal RNA (492 nucleotides) under uncultured bacterium. RNAcentral describes it as "partial 16S ribosomal RNA". It matches the Rfam family "Bacterial small subunit ribosomal RNA", at positions 29 to 507 of the family's 1533-position model. The record is from RNAcentral.